This 1426-nucleotide long non-coding RNA is filed under the name Sus scrofa (pig). Its description in RNAcentral is "lncRNA (ENSSSCG00065054833.1)". Lineage: Eukaryota; Metazoa; Chordata; Mammalia; Artiodactyla; Suidae. The record is from RNAcentral.
GGGCCAGAUCUGGGAAGUGGGAACUCCCGUUGCCCAGCCUGCUGUCCCCGUGGGCCACCCUAUAAAGGACACAAAAACAAAGCCCCGGGGCUUGGAGCGUGGACUGAAACGCGGUACUCUUCCCAGAGCUGCAGAGUGUCUCUGUGCCUGAUUUAUUUUCAGCGGCCUGUACGAGUGAAAUGAUGUUCCCUCUUUCCUCAGCUGGCCAGCCUGCAGGCGUCUCUUCGUUUUGCAGUGUACACCACCUGAAUCUGUAACCCCAAAGAGGAGUUCCCACGGGGGGGAACAAAAGAAGAAAAAGAAAGCGAACCCCGGUGGCGCUCCCAAAUCCACCCUUCCCAGGGGUCGGCUCCACUGCCUUGGUCAUCGGCUCACAUCACCCGGCGGCAGACAAGGCUCAGCACUUCCUUGAGUUUCCGUGAAGCGAAGCCACAUGCCUUUACCAAAUCCGCCACGCUCCUGAAAACAUUUCGAGUUUGCUGGUUUUGCUGCAAAUAAUCCAUGGACACAAAUGGCCUCACUUUGAGCACCAAGACGUUAGACACGAUGACACUGCGGAUUUUAAUAAGUCAGCUUGGAUUCUCAGUGGAAUAGUGGGACCUGAUGGUGCCUUUGGAAAGCAGUUUCAGAGGGACGCGGGUAAAGAAGACACCAGCCAAGGAAUGGCCCCUUGGGGGGCCAGCAAAUGCUUCAAAAAGACAGACUGGCCUCCUGAGUCCAGAGCUGAUGCACGUCGAGGCCGUCAAGGAAGGUAAGCGUUUGAAUGUGCUGUGGAUUCGGGAAUAAUCGCUGGCCGUCUUCAGGAGCCGCUCCGUCGUUUCUGACGUCAUUCGAUAGUAGGAAAACAAAAAUCCCUUCUGUUUUUUUAUGAGGCAUUUUCAGGUAUCGGGUGCAGAGGUAAAAGUUCAUAAGCACAUACUCUUAAUGAGCUAAGCGCGGGAGCGCUAGAUAAAUAAGAAUGAUUCGGUUUGACAAUUGCAGGGGCGGAACACGGAGUCUUUGGUUGCAUAGUCCAAGAAGAGUGAUUGUCUUUCCCCCUGUCUUCAUGCCAUGACAGGUAGCUUUCCCGUUCCUUGCCAGUUUCAUGAACUUGGAUUUGGACACAUUCCUUUCCCACCUGGUCAAGAAAGUAGAGCGUAUCCGAAUACAAACAAGAGAAAGGGACGUUAAUAGUAUCAGGAUCAUUUUUGAUGUAUUCUUAUUAAUGAAAAAGGAAAAUUGGGGAGUUCCCAUUGUAGAUUGAGGACCCCACGUUAUCUUUGUGAGGAUGCAGGUUUGAUCCUUGGCCUUGCUCAGUGGGUUAAGGAUCUGGUGCUGCUGUGGCUGUGGCAUAGGUCGCAGAUAUGGGUGUUGCUGUGGCUGUGGUGUAGGUUGCAGUGUAUCUCUGUUUUGACCCCUCACCUGGGAACUUCCGCAUGCUGCAGGU